This 502-nucleotide ribosomal RNA is filed under the name uncultured bacterium. RNAcentral's name for it is "partial 16S ribosomal RNA". It matches the Rfam family "Bacterial small subunit ribosomal RNA", at positions 899 to 1397 of the family's 1533-position model. The record is from RNAcentral.
ACUCAAAGGAAUAGACGGGGGUCCGCACAAGCGGUGGAACAUGUGGUUUAAUUCGUCACUACGCGAGGAACCUUACCUAGGCUUGACAUGCUUUUGAUCGCUGUAGAAAUACAGUUUUCUAGGUCUUUGAUCUAGACGGAUGCACAGGUGCUGCAUGGCUGUCGUCAGCUCGUGCCGUGAGGUGUUAGGUUAAGUCCUCUAACGAGCGCAACCCUUGCCGUCAGUUGCUAUUCUUCGGAAGCACUCUGAUGGGACUGCCUGGGAAACCAGGAGGAAGGUGGGGAUGACGUCAAGUCAUCAUGGUCCUUAUGCCUAGGGCUACACACGUGUUACAAUGGCCAGUACAAAGGGCUGCAAGCUUGUAAAAGUGAGCGAAUCCUAAAAACUGGUCUAAGUUCGGAUUGAGGUCUGCAACUCGACCUCAUGAAGUUGAAAUCGCUAGUAAUCGCGUAUCAGCAACGGCGCGGUGAAUACGUUCUCGGACCUUGCACACACCGCCCGU